GACGAACGCUGGCGGCAGGCUUAACACAUGCAAGUCGAACGAUGUAGCAAUACAUAGUGGCGCACGGGUGAGUAACGCGUGGGAAUAUACCUUGUAGUGGGGAAUAACGUUGGGAAACUAACGCUAAUACCGCAUACGCCCGAGAGGGGAAAGAUUUAUCGCUAUAAGAUUAGCCCGCGUGAGAUUAGGUAGUUGGUGGGGUAAUGGCCUACCAAGCCUACGAUCUCUAGCUGGUCUGAGAGGAUGAUCAGCCACACUGGAACUGAGACACGGUCCAGACUCCUACGGGAGGCAGCAGUGGGGAAUAUUGGGCAAUGGAGGAAACUCUGACCCAGCCAUGCCGCGUGAAUGAUGAAGGCCUUAGGGUUGUAAAGUUCUUUCGCCGAUGAAGAUAAUGACGGUAGUCGGAGAAGAAGCCCCGGCUAACUUCGUGCCAGCCGCCGCAGUAA
Molecule: ribosomal RNA, 449 nt
Filed under: uncultured bacterium
Lineage: Bacteria
Description: partial 16S ribosomal RNA
Rfam family: Bacterial small subunit ribosomal RNA
Source: RNAcentral